AUGCCGUGCUGUCCAAGGAGCAGGAGGACCAGAUCGGGCACGGGUCGCGCGGGGGACGUCACCAUCCUGCCCACGCUCGUCAUCAACGACGUCCAGUACAGAGGGAAGCUGGAGAGGACGGCGGUGCUCAAGGCCAUGUGCGCCGGCUUCAAGGAGGGGACCGAGCCGCAAGUUUGCCUGAGCCAUGACAUGGAGACGAACGAGUGCCUGCAUCAGAACGGCGGGUGCUGGCAGGACGAGGCGACGAACAUGACGGUGUGCAGGGACACGUACCGGGGCAGGGUGUGCGAGUGCCCCAUGGUGAACGGCGUCCGCUACGAUGGUGACGGGUACACCCACUGCAAAGGUCGACUGCACCGCCACACGAAGUUCACAGGCCAUAGCUGCGGACGGACAAAAUUCCAACUGUACUGCAACCCCUCAAGAUCCACAGUGGCCAAAGAUGGCGCUCCACAGUUGUUCGGUGUAAUGCCUAAGGAGCAAACAAUGUCUCUCUCACUUUUGUUUUUCGAAAGACCUACCUAUCACUGCACCUUAGGUCCACCACCUACAGCCGGCGCCGCAGUGCCUCGACCAUUCAACUAUGCCACCUCAGCAGUUCAAUAUAUAUUGGAGAAGAAGAAAAAACAACAGUAG
Molecule: ribosomal RNA, 636 nt
Filed under: Triticum aestivum (bread wheat)
Lineage: Eukaryota; Viridiplantae; Streptophyta; Magnoliopsida; Poales; Poaceae
Description: partial small subunit ribosomal RNA
Source: RNAcentral